Molecule: ribosomal RNA, 468 nt
Filed under: uncultured bacterium
Lineage: Bacteria
Description: partial 16S ribosomal RNA
Rfam family: Bacterial small subunit ribosomal RNA
Source: RNAcentral
GACGAACGCUGGCGGCGUGCUUAACACAUGCAAGUCGAACGGAAAGGCCCUGCUUUUGUGGGGUGCUCGAGUGGCGAACGGGUGAGUAACACGUGAGUAACCUUCCCUUGACUUUGGGAUAACUUCAGGAAACUGGUGCUAAUACCGGAUAGGAGCGCCUGCUGCAUGGUGGGGGUUGGAAAGUUUCGGCGGUUGGGGAUGGACUCGCGGCUUAUCAGCUUGUUGGUGGGGUAGUGGCUUACCAAGGCUUUUACGGGUAGCCGGCCUGAGAGGGUGACCGGCCACAUUGGGACUGAGAUACGGCCCAGACUCCUACGGGAGGCAGCAGUGGGGAAUAUUGUACAAUGGGCGGAAGCCUGAUGCAGCAACGCCGCGUGCGGGAUGACGGCCUUCGGGUUGUAAACCGCUUUCGCCUGUGACGAAGCGUGAGUGACGGUAAUGGGUAAAGAAGCACCGGCUAACUACGUG